RNAcentral lists this ribosomal RNA (497 nucleotides) under uncultured bacterium. RNAcentral's name for it is "partial 16S ribosomal RNA". It matches the Rfam family "Bacterial small subunit ribosomal RNA", at positions 28 to 507 of the family's 1533-position model. The record is from RNAcentral.
GAUGAACGCUGGCGGCGUGCCUAAUACAUGCAAGUCGAGCGAACGGACGAGAAGCUUGCUUCUCUGAUGUUAGCGGCGGACGGGUGAGUAACACGUGGAUAACCUACCUAUAAGACUGGGAUAACUUCGGGAAACCGGAGCUAAUACCGGAUGAUAUUUUGAACCGCAUGGUUCAAAAGUGAAAGACGGUCUUGCUGUCACUUAUAGAUGGAUCCGCGCUGCAUUAGCUAGUUGGUAAGGUAACGGCUUACCAAGGCAACGAUGCAUAGCCGACCUGAGAGGGUGAUCGGCCACACUGGAACUGAGACACGGUCCAGACUCCUACGUGAGGCAGCAGUAGGGAAUCUUCCGCAAUGGGCGAAAGCCUGACGGAGCAACGCCGCGUGAGUGAUGAAGGUCUUCGGAUCGUAAAACUCUGUUAUUAGGGAAGAACAUAUGUGUAAGUAACUGUGCACAUCUUGACGGUACCUAAUCAGAAAGCCACGGCUAACUACGUG